AGUUGUCAUUUUUCUUCUUAGUGCUCCCAUGGUGGUUGUCAAUUCUUCUAAAAAAAGCAUUUACCAAUCUGAUUUUGUAAUAAUGUCUUUACUUGUCUGUCUUUCCACUAGAAUAUGAGUUCUUUAAUGGCAGGAAUGCUUCUUCUCUCUCUCUUAGCUUAGCCCCUGGCAUGAGCCAGGCUCAUAGUUUAUGUACAACAAAUAUUUGCUGAAUGAAUGAAUAAGUCAAUGGCUGGGCACACAGAAUUGUCUUUCACAGAAUGUCAUUCUUAAAGGGAAGCUAUAGGAGAAUACAGAUGUAUGUGGCUACAUUUUAAUUUUUUCUAAAGGAUCAGAAAACUUAUAAGAGAGACAUAGUUGCAACAGAUCUUUAGCAUGUCAAAUUUUGACUACCUGUUUACACAUUAUCUUCACUGUUCUUAGCUAGAGGGUUCAUAAUGUCCAGGGUGCUGCCAUCUGGUAGAAAUAUACAAGCAAAAAAAAAAAAAAAGAAAGAAAUAUAAAGGCAGAGUAUCUGGGGGGUGGGAAACAAACAUUAAUUAGUAAAAGUGUAGUGAGACAGGAAUGGAGAUUUUUGUAGGAAAAAUUUCAAACAGCUAAAGACAAGUUGACUCUUGGUAGCUAAUUUUUUUGUUUAUUUGUUUUGACAGACUCUCACUCUUUCGCCCUGGGUAGAGUGCCAUGGUGUCAUCACAAGUCACAGCAGCCUCAAAUUCUUGGGCUCAAGUGAUCUUCUUGCCUCAGCCACCCAAGUAGCUGGGACUACAGGCCUGUGCCCACCACACCCAGCUAGUUUUUUCUAUUUUUAGUAGAGACGGGGUCUCAUUCUUGUUCAGGCUGUUCUGGAAUUCCUGAGUUCACUCAAUCCUCCUGCCUCGGCAGCCCAGAAUGCUAGGAUUACAGCAAAGAACGAGAGUUCCUGUUGUUCUACAUCCUUAGCAGCAUUUGACGUUGUCAGUGUUUUGAUUUGGGCCAUCCAAUUAGGAGAUGUAGCCGGUGCUGGACUACACUCAGCCCCAGACUAAGAACCUAGGAAGUGGAGGAUGUGCUUGCUGGGCUCUCGUCUCCUGUGCUCCCACCUGAUGUGUGUCACAUGGGCUGUCUACUUCUGUUCUCUCUUCAGCGUCUUCAGGUUCUGGCAUUAGUCAUUCCCACCAAGAAAUGACAAAGAGGACAGAAAAACCAGAAAGCUGGCAGGAACCCUGAGGGCCUGGGUUCAAGGAAGCUCUUUAAUUUGUGAGUCUUUGGAAUUAAAAUCAGCAUGCAUGGUUCAUUGUAUAAAAAUAACAGCAUGAAUAUAAAAAAAUGCUACUGUUCUCCAGCUGGGCAAAACAAAACAGGGUCUAUGGAACCUGAAAAUGCUGCAAAGCAGAAGCAGACUUUCAAAGGACGUCUCUUAAGAAAUACAAAGUAAAAUAACAAGUUUUUUUGGCUUAGAAGUUAAGACUCCUUUAGAGGCCGUGUACAGACCUUAAUUAUUUACCUCAGGACACUCGGGAGCCAGAGAGGGCCGCCAAGUUGCAAAAAAAGGAAAAAAAAAAAAACCCUCCAAAAACAGACAAUAAAAACGGGCUUUUAACCUUAAGUGGAGUAAAUAAAAGGAGGAAUGAGCACAGGUAGAACAAAAUCUCAGACCCAUUCUUUCUUCAAGAAGCCUGGAAAUGUUCUUUUUUCCUACAGAGAAAGGACUGCAUUGCAGAGGAGUAACUCUGCACCUGCUGAUGGGAUCCAGGGGCAUCCACUAGCAAGAGGAUUAGAAGGGAAGAAAAAGAAAGUAUCAUACCGGCCGGGCGUGGUGACCCACACCUGUAGUCCCAGCGCUGUGGGAGGCCGAGGCCGGUGGAUUGCCUGAGCUCAGAGGUUCGAGACCAGUAUGACCAGCAGUGAGCCAGAAUAAGACCCCCGUCUCUACUAACAUCAAAAACAGCGGGACAGAGCAUCGCCAGGGGAAGAAGAAAAUGAACAAACAAAAAGAGUACUUCAAACGAAGAAGAAUGAACAAGCAAGCUGAAAUUAAAAAUAAAAAAAAUUAAAAAAGAAAGUACCAUACCUUGCCAGGUAUAGUAUAUGCAUAGACCAGUAGGGAGUGCUGUUGUUUUACUUUUUCCAUGCUCUGUGGAGGGGACA
This is a long non-coding RNA of Nycticebus coucang (slow loris), 2127 nucleotides long. RefSeq lists it as uncharacterized. NCBI's taxonomy places the organism in Eukaryota, Metazoa, Chordata, Mammalia, Primates, Lorisidae. The record is from RefSeq and is a predicted model, not a curated record. The transcript is spliced from 4 exons.